This 1229-nucleotide ribosomal RNA is filed under the name uncultured fungus. RNAcentral's name for it is "eukaryotic LSU rRNA". The stretch from base 604 to 1229 matches the Rfam family "Eukaryotic large subunit ribosomal RNA", at positions 1 to 649 of the family's 3401-position model. The record is from RNAcentral. Lineage: Eukaryota; Fungi.
AAGUCGUAACAAGGUUCCCGUAGGUGAACCUGCGGAAGGAUCAUUACCGAGAUUUUUUCCUGCUUGCAGGAAAUCUCCCACCCUUUUGUGUAUCGAAAUUCCCAAUACUUUGGUGAAGCGCUUGUUGAGCAUACGUGCUGAGCAACCAGUGACUCUUUAUUUUUAUUUAUUUAAUAAUAAAAAAUAGAGUGGCUGUGUCUUUGCCAAAGGAACUUGUAACUCUACAUUUUUUAUAUAUUUCUGUCUGAGUUUAUAAAUUUUUAAAAUAAACAAAACUUUCAACAACGGAUCUCUUGGUUCUGGCAUCGAUGAAGAACGCAGCGAAAUGCGAUAAGUAAUGUGAAUUGCAGAAUUCAGCGAAUCAUCGAAUUUUUGAACGCACAUUGCACCUCAGAGUAUUCUUUGAGGUAUACCUGUUCGAGCGUCGUUUAGACCAUAAGGCUUUGCCUUGCGCUGAUGGCUUGGGAGCGACCUGCUUCUAACUGUCUAAACAUGUUGGCGUCGUAGUUUGACCAAGACACAGCAAAAAUGUGAAACUGGGCGAGCAAUUUCGACAUGCCUUGAAUCAACUGUUUCUCUCCUUUUUGUGAGGAAACGUAGGUUCGACCUCGGAUCAGGUAAGACUACCCGCUGAACUUAAGCAUAUCAAUAAGCGGAGGAAAAGAAACCAACAGGGAUUGCCUCAGUAACGGCGAGUGAAGCGGCAAAAGCUCAAAUUUGAAAUCUGGUCCUAGACCCGAGUUGUAAUUUGUAGAGGAAUGUUCGGCGACGUCUAGGUCUGAGUCUUCUGGAAGGAAGCGCCUUUGAGGGUGAGAGCCCCGUAGGACUGAUGACUGAACCAUGUGUACAUCCUUCGACGAGUCGAGUUGUUUGGGAAUGCAGCUCAAAACGGGUGGUAAAUUCCAUCUAAAGCUAAAUAUUGGCCAGAGACCGAUAGCGCACAAGUAGAGUGAUCGAAAGAUGAAAAGCACUUUGGAAAGAGAGUGAAACAGUACGUGAAAUUGUUGAAAGGGAAGCGCUUGCGACCAGACUUGGGUUUAACGUUCAGCGGUUCGCGUGGACCGUGUACUUCGUUAUUUACUAGCCAGCAUCAGUUUCUGGGGUUGGAUAAGAGCAUGAGGAACGUAGCUUAGCUUCGGUUGAGUGUUAUAGCCUUUUGCACAAUACAGCCACUGGAGACUGAGGAACGCCUUUUUUGUAGGAUGCUGGCGUAAUGGUUGCAAGCGGCC